CGUGGGAGGGUUCUGACUAGGGGACUAUCCACGAGGGUUCCCCUAGUCACAUCCUUCCCUCGAU
Molecule: microRNA precursor, 64 nt
Filed under: Heligmosomoides polygyrus
Lineage: Eukaryota; Metazoa; Nematoda; Chromadorea; Rhabditida; Heligmosomidae
Description: microRNA hpo-mir-10109 precursor
Source: miRBase by way of RNAcentral